RNAcentral lists this ribosomal RNA (367 nucleotides) under uncultured bacterium. Its description in RNAcentral is "bacterial SSU rRNA". It matches the Rfam family "Bacterial small subunit ribosomal RNA", at positions 772 to 1135 of the family's 1533-position model. The record is from RNAcentral.
ACCUAAUAGAUACCCCGGGUAGUCCACGCCCUAAACGAUGCGAACUGGAUGUUGGGUACAUUACGGUACUCAGUGUCGAAAGCUAAACGCGUUAAGUUCGCCGCCUGGGGAGUACGGUCGCAAGACUGAAACUCAAAGGAAUUGACGGGGGCCCGCACAAGCGGUGGAGUAUGUGGUUUAAUUCGAUGCAACGCGAAGAACCUUACCUGGCCUUGACAUCUGUCGAAUCCUGCAGAGAUGCGGGAGUGCCGCAAGGAACGACAAGACAGGUGCUGCAUGGCUGUCGUCAGCUCGUGUCGUGAGAUGUUGGGUUAAGUCCCGCAACGAGCGCAACCCUUGUCCCUAGUUGCCAGCACAUCAUGGUGGG